Molecule: ribosomal RNA, 492 nt
Filed under: uncultured bacterium
Lineage: Bacteria
Description: partial 16S ribosomal RNA
Rfam family: Bacterial small subunit ribosomal RNA
Source: RNAcentral
AGUGAACGCUGGCGGUAGGCCUAACACAUGCAAGUCGAACGGCAGCACAGUAAGAGCUUGCUCUUACGGGUGGCGAGUGGCGGACGGGUGAGGCAUACAUCGGAAUCUACUUUUUCGUGGGGGAUAACGUAGGGAAACUUACGCUAAUACCGCAUAUGACCUACGGGUGAAAGCAGGGGAUCUUCGGACCUUGCGCGAUUGAAUGAGCUGAUGUCGGAUUAGCUAGUUGGCGGGGUAAAGGCCCACCAAGGCGACGAUCCGUAGCUGGUCUGAGAGGAUGAUCAGCCACACUGGAACUGAGACACGGUCCAGACUCCUACGGGAGGCAUCAGUGGGGAAUAUUGGACAAUGGGCGCAAGCCUGAUCCAGCCAUACCGCGUGGGUGAAGAAGGCCUUCGGGUUGUAAAGCCCUUUUGUUGGGAAAGAAAAGCAGCAGGUUAAUACCCCGCUGUUCUGACGGUACCCAAAGAAUAAGCACCGGCUAACUUCGUG